Molecule: ribosomal RNA, 253 nt
Filed under: uncultured bacterium
Lineage: Bacteria
Description: partial 16S ribosomal RNA
Rfam family: Bacterial small subunit ribosomal RNA
Source: RNAcentral
UACGAAGGGAGCUAGCGUUGUUCGGAAUCACUGGGCGUAAAGCGUGCGUAGGCGGCUUUGCAAGUCAGGGGUGAAAUCCCAUAGCUUAACUAUGGAACUGCCUUUGAAACUGCAAAGCUAGAAUGUGAGAGGGGAUGGCGGAAUUCCUAAUGUAGAGGUGAAAUUCGUAGAUAUUCGGAAGAACACCAGUGGCGAAGGCGGCUCACUGGACCGGCAUUGACGCUGAGGUGCGAAAGCGUGGGGAGCAAACAGG